Long non-coding RNA from Oncorhynchus tshawytscha (Chinook salmon), 1649 nucleotides. The record is from Ensembl. Lineage: Eukaryota; Metazoa; Chordata; Actinopteri; Salmoniformes; Salmonidae.
AAUAGGUCUUUCACGGACGUGGAAAAUGCGUCUUUCACGGAUGUUGAACGUGCGUAUUUUACGGAUGUUGAACAUGCGUAUUUUACGGAUGUUGAACAUGCGUAUUUUACGGAUGUUGAACGUGCGUAUUUUACGGAUGUUGAACAUGCGUAUUUUACGGAUGUUGAACGUGCGUAUUUUACGGCUGUUGAACGUGCGUAUUUUACGGCUGUUGAACGUGCGUAUUUUACGGACGUUGAACAUGCGUAUUUUACGGACGUGGGACAUGCGUACUUUACGGACGUGGAACAUGCGUACUUUACGGACGUGGAACAUGCGUAUUUUACGGAUGUGGAACAUGCGUAUUUUACGGAUGUGGAACAUGCGUAUCUUACGGGCGUGGAAAAUAGGUCUUUCACGGACGUGGAAAAUGCGUCUUUCACGGAUGUUGAACGUGCGUAUUUUACGGGUGUUGAACGUGCGUAUUUUACGGGUGUUGAACGUGCGUAUUUUACGGGUGUUGAACGUGCGUAUUUUACGGGUGUUGAACGUGCGUAUUUUACGGGUGUUGAACGUGCGUAUUUUACGGGUGUUGAACGUGCGUAUUUUACGGGUGUUGAACGUGCGUAUUUUACGGGUGUUGAACGUGCGUAUUUUACGGAUGUUGAAUGUGCGUAUUUUACGGAUGUUGGCCGUGCGUAUUUUACGGAUGUUGGCCGUGCGUAUUUUACGGAUGUGGCACGUGCGUAUUUUACGGAUGUGGAACGUGCGUAUGUUACGGAUGUGGAAAAUAGGUCUUUCACGGAUGUUGAGAAUGUUUUUUUGGGGUCAUUGUUUCUAUUGGCAAAUUUCAACUGUACAUCAUUUCACUUUUCUAUCUAUAUGUCAACAAAUAUUGUCACAUUGAAUAAAGGAUAAUGGAUCAAAAUGAAGAUUACAGUAUGGAAUACGUAUUAUUACUCCAUUGUGUUAACCAAGAGCUUUGGAACUGGCAGUGACCAUAUUCAAAGUUUCCUAACACAAACCAACAGAGCCUUUCAACUACAAUGACAUUCUCAGUAAAGGUUACAGAAACAUUUUUACAGUGGUUGCUCAACUAAAAGUGUUGAGACUUAAUAAUUAACUUAAUAUGGAAUUUGUAGUUUAGUACGGUACCCUGCGUCACUGCUUCUUUGCUCCAGGCCAGUGCAAGGGGGAGUUAGAGCACUGAUUAUGCUUUUGGGUCCCAAGGCGCUAAUGUGUCACUAACUGACAAUGAAUGGGCCGACAUAAACCAAAUAGAAACUAAUAAUUGUGCACGACUUCAAAAUUGAAUUUCAAUGACCUGAAUGAUGAGGAUGAAGAAGGUGAUUGAAUUUAGAACAAUUGUGUAAGAAUUGCUAUUCCUCUGUACAGCAUGCACACCCAGAAAAAUACACCUAUUUUUGUGUUAUUACUCGCCAGUAUUACUUACUAAAACUGUUGUUACAGUAAGGUUUUUAUUCUAAGAGAAAUAAACUUUUCAAUUAUUUUGAGCUCCCGACCAGUCACGUUGUACAGCGCCAUUAUGGGCUUUUAGCAGGACAAUAGACUCUUACCAACACCUCUCUGUAUUUUGAUACUUUGUGCAAGGCAAUUGAUUAGCAUUAAAAACUUUUAAAACUUUGUGGAUGGGGCCUCCCUAGUGGCGC